UUCCACAGUGACAGUUUCCCCACAACUGAAUUCUAAUCUUGAGUGUUGCACUUCCCAGAAUGUUCUGGACAAGGCCUGGUGCCGUCCCUGCUGCAGUCCCUGGAGGGAGAGCAGGGGGUCUCCUUGGGGCCACUGUGGAGUCUCUGGGGCAAGAGGGAGCCUCCCUAGGGGAGGAUGACAGGUCUGCUCACUUGCGGACUGGACACAAUUCCUUAUAGGCUGCCCUCUGGAUGUGAAUUAUAGAGCCACAGGUAAUGGAGCAGCAGAAAUUCCUCUGAGAUUAUGUCUGUGUAUAGUUGUGUUGGUUUGAAAAGUGUUUUGGUCAUUUGAGUCUUCAUACUUAGUAAACAAACAAAAAUAAACUGGAAAAAAAUUC
RNAcentral lists this long non-coding RNA (376 nucleotides) under Pongo abelii (Sumatran orangutan). Its description in RNAcentral is "lincRNA". The record is from RNAcentral. Lineage: Eukaryota; Metazoa; Chordata; Mammalia; Primates; Hominidae.